GGGUUGUGAGGUUAAGCGACUAAGCGUACACGGUGGAUGCCCUGGCAGUCAGAGGCGAUGAAGGACGUGCUAAUCUGCGAUAAGCGUCGGUAAGGUGAUAUGAACCGUUAUAACCGGCGAUUUCCGAAUGGGGAAACCCAGUGUGUUUCGACACACUAUCAUUAACUGAAUCCAUAGGUUAAUGAGGCGAACCGGGGGAACUGAAACAUCUAAGUACCCCGAGGAAAAGAAAUCAACCGAGAUUCCCCCAGUAGCGGCGAGCGAACGGGGAGCAGCCCAGAGCCUGAAUCAGUGUGUGUGUUAGUGGAAGCGUCUGGAAAGGCGCGCGAUACAGGGUGACAGCCCCGUACACAAAAAUGCACAUGCUGUGAGCUCGAUGAGUAGGGCGGGACACGUGGUAUCCUGUCUGAAUAUGGGGGGACCAUCCUCCAAGGCUAAAUACUCCUGACUGACCGAUAGUGAACCAGUACCGUGAGGGAAAGGCGAAAAGAACCCCGGCGAGGGGAGUGAAAAAGAACCUGAAACCGUGUACGUACAAGCAGUGGGAGCACGCUUAGGCGUGUGACUGCGUACCUUUUGUAUAAUGGGUCAGCGACUUAUAUUCUGUAGCAAGGUUAACCGAAUAGGGGAGCCGAAGGGAAACCGAGUCUUAACUGGGCGUUAAGUUGCAGGGUAUAGACCCGAAACCCGGUGAUCUAGCCAUGGGCAGGUUGAAGGUUGGGUAACACUAACUGGAGGACCGAACCGACUAAUGUUGAAAAAUUAGCGGAUGACUUGUGGCUGGGGGUGAAAGGCCAAUCAAACCGGGAGAUAGCUGGUUCUCCCCGAAAGCUAUUUAGGUAGCGCCUCGUGAAUUCAUCUCCGGGGGUAGAGCACUGUUUCGGCAAGGGGGUCAUCCCGACUUACCAACCCGAUGCAAACUGCGAAUACCGGAGAAUGUUAUCACGGGAGACACACGGCGGGUGCUAACGUCCGUCGUGAAGAGGGAAACAACCCAGACCGCCAGCUAAGGUCCCAAAGUCAUGGUUAAGUGGGAAACGAUGUGGGAAGGCCCAGACAGCCAGGAUGUUGGCUUAGAAGCAGCCAUCAUUUAAAGAAAGCGUAAUAGCUCACUGGUCGAGUCGGCCUGCGCGGAAGAUGUAACGGGGCUAAACCAUGCACCGAAGCUGCGGCAGCGACGCUUAUGCGUUGUUGGGUAGGGGAGCGUUCUGUAAGCCUGUGAAGGUGUGCUGUGAGGCAUGCUGGAGGUAUCAGAAGUGCGAAUGCUGACAUAAGUAACGAUAAAGCGGGUGAAAAGCCCGCUCGCCGGAAGACCAAGGGUUCCUGUCCAACGUUAAUCGGGGCAGGGUGAGUCGACCCCUAAGGCGAGGCCGAAAGGCGUAGUCGAUGGGAAACAGGUUAAUAUUCCUGUACUUGGUGUUACUGCGAAGGGGGGACGGAGAAGGCUAUGUUGGCCGGGCGACGGUUGUCCCGGUUUAAGCGUGUAGGCUGGUUUUCCAGGCAAAUCCGGAAAAUCAAGGCUGAGGCGUGAUGACGAGGCACUACGGUGCUGAAGCAACAAAUGCCCUGCUUCCAGGAAAAGCCUCUAAGCAUCAGGUAACAUCAAAUCGUACCCCAAACCGACACAGGUGGUCAGGUAGAGAAUACCAAGGCGCUUGAGAGAACUCGGGUGAAGGAACUAGGCAAAAUGGUGCCGUAACUUCGGGAGAAGGCACGCUGAUAUGUAGGUGAAGUCCCUUGCGGAUGGAGCUGAAAUCAGUCGAAGAUACCAGCUGGCUGCAACUGUUUAUUAAAAACACAGCACUGUGCAAACACGAAAGUGGACGUAUACGGUGUGACGCCUGCCCGGUGCCGGAAGGUUAAUUGAUGGGGUUAGCGGUAACGCGAAGCUCUUGAUCGAAGCCCCGGUAAACGGCGGCCGUAACUAUAACGGUCCUAAGGUAGCGAAAUUCCUUGUCGGGUAAGUUCCGACCUGCACGAAUGGCGUAAUGAUGGCCAGGCUGUCUCCACCCGAGACUCAGUGAAAUUGAACUCGCUGUGAAGAUGCAGUGUACCCGCGGCAAGACGGAAAGACCCCGUGAACCUUUACUAUAGCUUGACACUGAACAUUGAGCCUUGAUGUGUAGGAUAGGUGGGAGGCUUUGAAGUGUGGACGCCAGUCUGCAUGGAGCCGACCUUGAAAUACCACCCUUUAAUGUUUGAUGUUCUAACGUUGACCCGUAAUCCGGGUUGCGGACAGUGUCUGGUGGGUAGUUUGACUGGGGCGGUCUCCUCCUAAAGAGUAACGGAGGAGCACGAAGGUUGGCUAAUCCUGGUCGGACAUCAGGAGGUUAGUGCAAUGGCAUAAGCCAGCUUGACUGCGAGCGUGACGGCGCGAGCAGGUGCGAAAGCAGGUCAUAGUGAUCCGGUGGUUCUGAAUGGAAGGGCCAUCGCUCAACGGAUAAAAGGUACUCCGGGGAUAACAGGCUGAUACCGCCCAAGAGUUCAUAUCGACGGCGGUGUUUGGCACCUCGAUGUCGGCUCAUCACAUCCUGGGGCUGAAGUAGGUCCCAAGGGUAUGGCUGUUCGCCAUUUAAAGUGGUACGCGAGCUGGGUUUAGAACGUCGUGAGACAGUUCGGUCCCUAUCUGCCGUGGGCGCUGGAGAAUUGAGGGGGGCUGCUCCUAGUACGAGAGGACCGGAGUGGACGCAUCACUGGUGUUCGGGUUGUCAUGCCAAUGGCACUGCCCGGUAGCUAAAUGCGGAAGAGAUAAGUGCUGAAAGCAUCUAAGCACGAAACUUGCCCCGAGAUGAGUUCUCCCUGACUCCUUGAGAGUCCUGAAGGAACGUUGAAGACGACGACGUUGAUAGGCCGGGUGUGUAAGCGCAGCGAUGCGUUGAGCUAACCGGUACUAAUGAACCGUGAGGCUUAACCUUACAACGCCGAAG
This 2927-nucleotide ribosomal RNA is filed under the name Escherichia coli. Its description in RNAcentral is "23S ribosomal RNA". It matches the Rfam family "Bacterial large subunit ribosomal RNA". The record is from RNAcentral. Lineage: Bacteria; Pseudomonadati; Pseudomonadota; Gammaproteobacteria; Enterobacterales; Enterobacteriaceae.